RNAcentral lists this ribosomal RNA (475 nucleotides) under uncultured bacterium. RNAcentral's name for it is "bacterial SSU rRNA". It matches the Rfam family "Bacterial small subunit ribosomal RNA", at positions 30 to 490 of the family's 1533-position model. The record is from RNAcentral.
AGCGAACGUUUGCGGCGGGCUUAACACAUGCAAGUCGAACGGGCUGUUCCUUCGGGGGCAGUCAGUGGCGCACGGGUGCGUAACACGUAGGUAAUCAACCCUCUGGUUGGGGAUAACACUUCGAAAGGAGUGCUAAUACCCGGUAUGGCGCAGCGGUCUUCGGAUCGCGGCGAGAAGGACCCGCAAGGGUUGCCAGAGGACGAGCCUGCGGCCCAUCAGCUAGUUGGCGAGGUAACGGCUCACCAAGGCGAAGACGGGUAGCUGGUCUGAGAGGAUGAUCAGCCACACUGGAACUGAGACACGGUCCAGACUCCUACGGGAGGCAGCAGUGGGGAAUAUUGCGCAAUGGGCGAAAGCCUGACGCAGCCACGCCGCGUGAGCGAUGAAGGCCUUCGGGUCGUAAGACUCUGUGGGAGGAGGAAGAAUAAAGACCUAGUGAAGAGCAGGCCGUUGACGGUAGUCUCCUUACGUCAAG